Molecule: long non-coding RNA, 374 nt
Filed under: Vigna radiata
Lineage: Eukaryota; Viridiplantae; Streptophyta; Magnoliopsida; Fabales; Fabaceae
Description: long non-coding RNA (VRAD_LNC001375)
Source: RNAcentral
GAGAGUGCGAGUGUGGGGGUGUGUGGCUGAGUGAGUGAAUAAGAGAGAGAAAGGUUGCAAAUUAGGGUUUUAAGAAAAAGUAAAAAAAAAAGGUAAAUGGUAAAAGUAAAAAGAUACUUCUGGAAUAAAGGAAAAUUGAGGAGGUGGAGGGAGAAGGUGUGGAGGUAAAAGGAGUAGCACCCAUUUUCUCACUGCAUAUUUAGCCGCCUGACCCUUUGGUUGAUCGGGUGGUCCUAUCGUACACAAGCCCCGCAAGCCCAAGCAAACUCUUUAUUGGAAGAUGUGUGUUAGGUUAGGUGAGCCCGAGAGAGACGAUUCACGUUGUAUUUUCCAUGCAUUUUAAGUCUUCAUUGUUCUCUGCACCGAGCAGCGGG